AUGAAGCUGAGUAUCUCCUUCCCUGCCACCGGCUGUCAGAAACUCACUGAAGUAGAUGAUUGCAAGCUUUGCACGGUCUAUGAGAAGUGCAUGGCCGAAGAAGUAGCUGCUGAUGCUCUUGGUGAAGAGUGGAAGGGUUGUGUGGUCCGGAUCAGUGGUGGGAUGAUAAACAAGGUUUUCCCAUGAAGCAAGGCAUUUUGACCCAUGGCAGAGUGCACCUGCUGUUGAGUAAGGGGCAUCCCUGUUACAGACCAAGGAGAACUGGAGAGAGGAAGCACAAGUCUGCUUGCAGAUGCAUUGUGGAUGCUAAUCUAAGUGUUCCGACUUGGUUAUUGUAAAGAAAGGAGAAAAGGAUACUCCUAGACUGACAGAUACUACUGUGCCUCCUCGGUUGGGACCUAAAAGAGCUAGUAGAAUCCAAAAGCUUUUUAAUCUCUUCAAAGAAGACGAUCUCUGCCAAUAUGUUGUCAGAAAGCCCUUAAACAAAGAAGGGAAGAAGCCCAGGACCAAAGCACCCAAGAUUCAGCAUCUUCUUACUCCACGUGUCCUAUAACACAAAUGCCGAUGUAUUGCUCUGAAGAAACAAUGCACUAAGAAAAACAAGGAGGAGGCUGCAGAAUAUGCUAAACUUUUGGCCAAGAGAAAGAGGGAAGCCAAAGAAAAGCGCCAGGAACAGAUUGCCAAGAGAUGUAGGCUCUCCUUGCUGAGAGCUUCUACUUCCAAGUCUGAGUCCAGUCAAAAGUAA
This 745-nucleotide long non-coding RNA is filed under the name Mus musculus (house mouse). RNAcentral describes it as "long non-coding RNA chr5:107241622-107242367". The record is from RNAcentral. Lineage: Eukaryota; Metazoa; Chordata; Mammalia; Rodentia; Muridae.